GACGGGGGAUGCAAGCGUUAUCCGGCAUCACUGGGCGUAAAGCGUCUGUAGGUGGUGAUGCAAGUCACUGGUGCAAAACUCUGGCUCAACCGGAGGAAAGCCAGUGAAACUGCAUGACUAGAGUGUGGGAGAGGUAGAAGGAAUUCCCUGAGUAGCGGUGAAAUGCGUAGAUACAGGGAAGAACACCGGAGGCGAAAGCGUUCUACUGGAACACAACUGACACUGAGAGACCAAAGCUAGUGGAGCGAAGGGG
Molecule: ribosomal RNA, 253 nt
Filed under: uncultured bacterium
Lineage: Bacteria
Description: partial 16S ribosomal RNA
Rfam family: Bacterial small subunit ribosomal RNA
Source: RNAcentral